GAGAGAGAGAGAGAGAGAGAGAGAGAGAGAGAGAGAGAGAGGUUUGGAUUUGGGGGAUUGGGUGGAUGGAGGUGGUUUCUAGUUUCUAGAAGGAGACGAGGAAGCGGGGUGGGGGGAAAAAGUAAACGGGGCGGAUAAGAAUCCGAGAACGAGUUAAGGAAAGUGUCGGGAUCGAGUUCGCAAGCGUCAAACCCACGGAAGAGAAGAGCUCUCUCUCUCUCUCUCUCUCUCGCGCUGACGCAGCGGGUGAGCGGACCCGCGUAUUGCGUCGCCCGCAGGUUCGGAAGCAGCCCAAAUUGUUUUGUCCCCGCGACCACGACCUUCCACUUUCAUCGCCCUUGCCACGUCAUCACCAAUUAUUAGUCAAAUUAAAUUAAUAAAUAAAUAAUGUUUUAAGAUUAUAUAUAUAUAUAUAUAUAUAUAUAUAUAUAUAAAUAAAGAGAGAGAGAGAGAGAGAUGAGCUAUAAUACUAUCGAUAGCAAACGGGCUCCGUUGCCACCCAUUUGUUUUUUAUGAUGGAGCCUCCAAAUCGACGAUCGGCACCGUUGAACAUCGAUCAUCCACUUGAAGUGUUUAGAAAUCAAAUUUUAAAUCUUUUCGACAUUAUUUGCCUAAUGAUCAAAGGAUUUCAAAUUUUGUAAUUUUAAUGGUCGAUAUAAGUGUUUUCUCGUUUAACGGCGUAAAAAUAUCCAAAUCAAUUAAAUUUUUGUUCGAAAAUUUUUAAACUAUUUAAAACAAAAUCUAUACUCUUGAUUUUGAUUACAAAACUCUUAGCAUCAUUUUUUGAAGAAUAUUCAUUUUCAACCGUUCAUUUUUGUGUCCACUUGAUGUAUAAGAGAACAAUAUCGAAAUAAUGAAAUUUGAUUUCUAAAUAUUUUCAAGUGGUAUAGAUCAUGUUCAACGUGUUCGAUCGUCGAUUUGGAGGCUCCAUCAUCGAAAACAAAUCGUGGCAACAGAGCCCGUUUGCUAUCGAUAGUAUUCUAGCUUAACUCUCUCUCUCUCUCUCUCUCUCUCUAUAUAUAUAUAUAUAUAUAUAUAUAUAUGAAUUCUCCUGCCUAGACUUUCAAUUUGAGUUUCAAAAAGCGAACUCUUUUAUCACAUGCAUUGUAUUCCAUUCUAUAUCAUGUCAUAGAUGAGCUCUGUCAUCAAGUACACUUGGAAACAUUUAAUGACCAAAUGUGUUCCCUCACUCUGAGUCGCAAUCACCACCAAGCGUACUCAGAUUCCACACGAAUUCUCAACGCCUAACAUUCUGCUUGCUAGUUCCGGCUUUACCACAACCUUCACCAUUCCUACAUGCGGAACCCAUGCCAUCUAUCCAUUGGAUGCUUGUAUGCUAUUCCGAGCCUCCAACUCUGUCACCGCUUUUCUCAAAGCUAGCCCUCUCGCCUCACUCCACGAGUCAAGAUUCCAAUCUCGAUACAAUGCAUAUGGUAAAAGAGUUCGCUUCGCGAAGUUUAAGUUGGAAGUCUAGACAAAUGAAUCUAUGGUGUGUGUAUAUAUAGUGUGGUGCUGGGCUUUUUUUGCAAAUAGCCCCAUAACAAAUUUUAUUUUCGAAAAUAGCCCUGUGUAAAAAUUAUUUGCAAUAAUGGCCCUGGCCCCGCCCCGUCAGCGCCACGUCAGCGCCACGCGGGCGGGGCUGGGCCAAUUGUAUAAGUUGAACACGGUGAACCAUUCACCGUGUUCAAUACAAGAUUUUUGUAUUGGACACAGUGAAUGGUUCACCGUGUCCAAUACAAAUACAUCCGACUUAGCCAAAAAUGGCUAAGUUGUGGGUGUUUGUAUUGGACACGGUGAAUCAUUCACCGUGUCCAAUUAUUUGUAGGACACGGUGAAUGAUUCACCAUGUCCAAUACAAAUAUAUUCCACUUAGCCAUUUUGUAUUGGACACGGUGAACCAUUCACCGUGUCCAAUACAAAAAUUUUGUAUUGAACACGGUGAAUGGUCCACCGUGUUCAAUAUAAAAAUUUUGUAUUGAACACGGUGAAUGGUCCACCGUGUUCAAUAUAAACACUUGGCCCAGCCCCGCCCGCGUGGCGCUGAUGUGGCGUUGACGGGGCGGGGUCAGGGCCAUUUUUGCAAAUAAUUUUUACACAGGGCCAAUUUUAAAAAAAAAUUGUCAGGGGGCUAUUUGCAAAAAAACUCCUGUGGUGCUACUAUGUUAUCAGAAAUAUAGAGAAUUUGAUGCUUUUAACUUUUUCACCCAUGGAUUAAGAAUUGUACCGUUGAGAUUACUGCGGUUCCCUCUAGAGUUGAGUAGUAUCUCUAGGAUUGAAUGGCCCCCAUAGGAUAAUAGUAUUAGUUUAAAAGUUAGAAAUAAUCAAAUGAGCUGAUAUAAGGGCCAAAAAGUUGAAAGCACCAUAUCCUUCGUGCUUUCGAUAUAAAGCUUGAAUUGAGCGAUAUAUAGGCAAUUGUCCUAACAAUAAUAAAUAAUAUUAAACUAGAUUUUGGAAAAAAAAUUGGGAAUAUCCUUUUAACUUGAAUUUAUUUAUAGAGUAUAGUUACAUUUCUGUCACAAUAUUACUUUUAUACAUUAUUUAUAGUAUGGAUUUUUUUUUUUUAUUAGUUUGCAUAUACACUCAGAAAGUACCUUAUAGAUAUUUCAAAGUUGAUUUUUGUUAUAAUUGGACUCUAGUAAUAAUAACCGGUUGCGGAGUAAAAUCACUCCUUUCACAUAGGGGCAUACAAGAAAUCGAAUGACAACUAUUUUUUAAAGAGAAAGAAAGAAAGAUUGCAAUUUUUUUUAUUUAUUUUUAUAAUAAAUAAAUUUAACUAAAAAAAUAAAAUAAUUAAAUUUUGAACUUAAAAUUUCGAAUAUUAUAUCAACCAUUAAACUAUAGUCCUGUGGUAGAUGUCUUAUAGGUAAUAGUAACGGCAAGUUAAUGUGGCCUUAAAUGAGGCUCAAAGAGUAACUAAGUAAUUUAACUUCGAGAGGCUAAUAAUCUAUAUAUAAAGAUAUUGAUAGCAUCAAGCGCUUGGAUAGAAAUGUUAACGGGUCAGGUUUGGGUCGAGUUUUCAAAAAUUCGAAUUCGAAUCCGAAAACUAAAUUAAAAUCCGAAUUCGGACCCAAACCUGGCGGAUUUUAAAAAUCCAUACAUAUAUCCGAACCUGACCAAAAAUCCGAAAUCCGAAUCCGAAUCCGAAAUAAUGAUUCUCUUUAUCAUAUUUCAAAAUAUAUUAUAGUAAAAUCAAAAAUUUCAAAAUAAAAUUUUCAAAACACAAUUAAAUACAAUAUUAAAAUAUUCAUGUCAUACAAUAUCAUUAUUUGGAUAAGAACAUCACAAAUUCAAAUAGUUAAAGACGACACUACAUUUUUUAAAUAUCUAAUGCAAUCUCUAGAUAUCAAAAUGUUAUAUAAUUUAUUUGGGUUUGAGUUGGAUUCGGGUUGGGUAAAUACAAAAUCUAUAUCCGUAUUCAUAUUCGUUGGAUUUUUAUUUUCGAUACCCAUAACCGAAUCCAUAUCCGUUUAGCUCAAGUAAGCCCGCCUCGUUCGGGUUUGGGUUUGGAUAAUAUUUUGGGUAUCAAUACCCAUUGACAUCCCUAUGUUUGGUGCUAUUGAGUUUUCCGCCGUUAGAUCUAUCGCUUUUAUUAUUUUCAUCUAUUAAAUCAUAAUUAUUCAACCAACCACUCACUUAAACUUAUGGACUAUUACCUUUCUAACUGUAUAUCUCUUCAUCUAAGAACUGAAAAUCUAAUAUCACAAGCACUUAGUACUAUUAAUAGUAUAAUAGCCUACUUAUAUGUAUAUAAAGUGCAGUUAAUUUUUCGCCGUUAGAUUUAUACCUUUGACCAUUCUAUUCGUUAGAUCAUACUAUUCAACCAACCACCCAUCCAAUCCUAGGAAACCACUAUAAUCCUAACAACACAUCUCUUCAUCUAAGAGUCGAAAAUCUAAUAUACUUAUUAGUGGCUUGGUGGUAUUAAUAGUAUUCUAGCCUAGUUUUACUUAUAUGUAUAUAUAUAAGUGAAAAGAUCAUUGCCCUUUGGGAUCAUGGUGGGCCCAUUUAUUAGGUUUCGAUGUCCAACUCCUCUCUCUCUAUUUAUAGAAGGACAUUUCAUCUUCCCACUCAAAUAGUUAUGAAAGGCACUUUAUUAUGUCCAUAUAUAUAUAUAUAUAUAUAUAUAUAUAGAGAGAGAGAGAGAGAGAGAGAGAGAGAGAGAGAGAGAGAGAGUUGAGUUAGAAUACUAUCGAUAGCAAACGGGCUUGUUGCCACCCAUUUGUUUUUAAUAAUAGAGCUUGCAAAUCGACGAUCGGCACCGUUGAACAUGAUUUAUACCACUUGAAGUGUUUAGAAAUCAAAUUUCAUAUCUUUUCGACAUUAUUUGCCUAAUGAUCAAAGGGUUUCAAAAUUUGUAAUUUUAAUGGUCGAUAUGAGCCGUUUUCUCGUUUAACGGUGUAAAGAUAUCCAAAUCAAUUAAAUUUUUGUUAGAAAAUUUUUUAAACUAUUUAAAACAAGAUCUAUACUCUUGAUCUUGAUUAUGAGACUCCUAUCAUCAUUUUUUAGAGAAUAUUCAUUUUCAGCCGUUUAUUUUUGUGUCCACUCGAUAGAUAAGAGAAUAAUAUCGAAAAUGUAUGAAAUUUGAUUUAUAAACACUCCAAGUGGUAUAGAUCAUAUUCAACGGUGUCGAUCGUCGAUUUAGAGGUUCCAUCAUCGAAAACAAAUGGGUGGCAAUAGAGCCCGUUUGCUAUCGAUAGUAUUGUAGCUCAACUCUAUAUCUAUAUAU
This 4726-nucleotide long non-coding RNA is filed under the name Ananas comosus (pineapple). RNAcentral describes it as "long non-coding RNA (ACOM_LNC027365)". Lineage: Eukaryota; Viridiplantae; Streptophyta; Magnoliopsida; Poales; Bromeliaceae. The record is from RNAcentral.